RNAcentral lists this ribosomal RNA (497 nucleotides) under uncultured bacterium. RNAcentral describes it as "partial 16S ribosomal RNA". It matches the Rfam family "Bacterial small subunit ribosomal RNA", at positions 28 to 507 of the family's 1533-position model. The record is from RNAcentral.
GAUGAACGCUGGCGGGGGGGAGAAUACAGGCAAGUCGAGCGAACAGACGAGGAGCUUGCUCCUCUGACGUUAGCGGCGGACGGGUGAGUAACACGUGGAUAACCUACCUAUAAGACUGGGAUAACUUCGGGAAACCGGAGCUAAUACCGGAUAAUAUAUUGAACCGCAUGGUUCAAUAGUGAAAGACGGUUUUGCUGUCACUUAUAGAUGGAUCCGCGCCGCAUUAGCUAGUUGGUAAGGUAACGGCUUACCAAGGCAACGAUGCGUAGCCGACCUGAGAGGGUGCUCGGCCACACUGGAACUGAGACCCGGUCCAGACUCCUACGGGAGGCAGCAGUAGGGAAUCUUCCGCAAUGGGCGAAAGCUUGACGGAGCAACGCCGCGUGAGUGAUGAAGGUCUUCGGAUCGUAAAACUCUGUUAUUAGGGAAGAACAAAUGUGUAAGUAACUAUGCACGUCUUGACGGUACCUAAUCAGAAAGCCACGGCUACCUACGUG